This is a non-coding RNA of Xyrichtys novacula (pearly razorfish), 2291 nucleotides long. NCBI's taxonomy places the organism in Eukaryota, Metazoa, Chordata, Actinopteri, Labriformes, Labridae. The record is from the annotation of a GenBank genome assembly.
GGAAACAAAAUGUUAGAAAGCGGGAGAUGUAAUGUACCAAAUAGCUGGAAAUUCACUUUGCUAUUAUGCUGGAAGCAAUCUAGAUCUAUUUGGCCUCCAGGAUGCAUGACCUGAGGGAUGAUAUUUUCCGUCUGAAGCCAUCCAUUGACUUUCCAAUACACUCAGUAAAACACACAAUGAAGGAUGUUUUUUUUUUACAUCAAAAUACACUUACUUCUCCUCCUAUGAUACAUCUAACAACUCUGACAUCAAAAUUAUGAAAGAUUAUUUCUGCUUUUUGUACCUAAAUUAACAAACCAGGGCAAUUUUCCAACUACAUUUUACUUUUGUCAAGCCACAUUGGGCAGGUCACACACAUUCUAGCAAUAAAAAAAUAAAACAAAAGCUUCACAAAUCCUAUUAGGCGCAGAUUAAGAAGUCGCUGCUGGGAAUAGAAACUAAAUGCAGGGAUUAGAGAAGAAGGCAUAACAACGCCUCCUCACUGCCCCCCAACCUGUCAACUCCCCUCUGACUGGAACCCCAGGACUCAGCUAAUGCCUUGAAUGCAUUGAGUGUGUGUGCAAAUCAGUUUAUGGUUGUGUCCUUCCUUAACAUCUUGACAGUCAUGUCAAAUAAAACAACCAAACUACCAAUCCCAAUACCAAUUUUGACAAAUUUCAGCCUUUAUAGUCCCCUUGUAGACUCUGGGUCAAGUUGAAAGGAAAAUUGAUUGACUAAAUAAUACUGACGAUAAAAAAUAUAAAAAAUUAAAUAGGUGAAAAGUAAAGGAGAGCCUACAACAGUGGACUUAUUGAGAUGUGGUACUGCUAACAAGUUACAGUAAUAAUCAAUCAAUAAUCAAUAAUAAUAAUGACAAUAACAUCACUACCACUACUACUACUACUACUACUAAAAAAUGAUUAUUAUUAUUAUUGUUAUUGUUGUUGUUGUUGUUGUUGUUAUUAUUAUAAAUUGAAUUCAUAUAGCAGAGAGAACCCAAUGUUAAUUUACAAAGAAAAGUCUCAAACUAAUUAUCAUCAUCAUCAUCAUCAUCAUCAUCAUCAUCAUCAUCGUAACACAAAGAGCGGUAAGGUUUCUAUUCAGGGUUAAUGACCUAAAAAGUCACAGCAUGGAAGCAAGUCUAUAAAAACCCAUCUAUGGGAGUGGACCAGGGUGUGGGCUGGAGGGGGCGCAAAACCAGUGAGGUCACAAGAGUCUGGAUGCGGCAAAUCAAGGUCAACCCCCCCCCCCCCUUUACUGUCAGUCGGAUGAGGGUCAGAUCAGUGUCUACACUAAUCGCACCUCAAUGGAUCAAACAAUCCCCUGACCUACUAUGAUACAACCUACUGUGCUCAUUCUUUGACACACAAACACAAACUCACGAAAAUAACCAUGAAACAAAACAUGCAAACUGACCUUUUACACCCUUUACCUUCACCACUGUAAGUCUUUCACACAUACACUGCUCAUGAAACUCACAUUCAAAUCCACCCACUCAGCAUGUAACCAAAAACUGUAUCAGUUUUCAGCACACAGAACAGGAUGGUUCAGGACUGACAGUCAUGCUAUCCUAAGUGAUGUAAAAAUACCUUCCCCUAGACCAGAGAAAACCCAAAUCAAGAACAGAAGAGAACCUGAAACCACAAGGGUACACUGUAAAGCCAAAAAAGCAGAAAAGAAGCCUUGAGUCCUGUAUUUUUUUUAAACAAGCUCCUUCUGGAGACAUCAGAUGUUAGCCCCAAAGCGACUGCAACGUAACAAUGCAGCUCAUACCAGACACAGACAGGCAAGCAGUCAGACAGAUGUGCCACAUAAAGGGGGGCAUAAAAGAGGUUCACUGAAAGGAAAUCCCCUCAAGGCCUAAUCCACGACAACAUUAAUAUAAUGAAAGAUUUAAAACCUGUCACAUAUCCUUCAUACGGUGAUAAGCCUUUGAAAUUUGCUCCCCUGACACUUGAAAGCCAAACACAAGAAUGGCGGAAAAAUACAAACAACUGUAGGUCUCUCUUUUUCGCAAUACUUUGCAAUAUAGCAGGGUCGUGUGAACUUUGUGAAAACUGAAAUGACAGACAAUGAUAGCAUGGUCUUAAAUGUUAUGAAAUGUGCUCAAGCUGGGUAAGCUGGGGCCAAGGCAACAUGCUUUUUUUUUAAUAAAUGGAAAAGCAGUAAGUAGCCAUAUGUACCCUAAGUGCGACUGUACAAAGGGAAAGUGCUUCUGAAAGAGGGGACAGUGAAAGUGGGACAAUGGGGAAUGCCUCAAGGCUAAAUCCCAGCUUCUGACCAGGCAGACACACAUCAGGCUAUCGCUCACA